UACGUAGGCAGCAAGCGUUGUUCGGAAUUACUGGGCGUAAAGAGUGUGUAGGCGGUGCUCUAAGUCUGUCGUGAAAUCUCCCGGCUUAACUGGGAGGGUGCGGCGGAAACUGGAAUGCUAGAGGGUGGGAGAGGAAAGCGGAAUUCCUGGUGUAGCGGUGAAAUGCGUAGAUAUCAGGAGGAACACCUGCGGUGUAGACAGCUUUCUGGACCACUUCUGACGCUGAGGCGCGAAAGCGUGGGGAGCAAACAGG
RNAcentral lists this ribosomal RNA (253 nucleotides) under uncultured bacterium. Its description in RNAcentral is "partial 16S ribosomal RNA". It matches the Rfam family "Bacterial small subunit ribosomal RNA", at positions 524 to 776 of the family's 1533-position model. The record is from RNAcentral.